CUCUCACAAAGAAAUACUGAAAGCUCAAAAAAAGAAAAGAUUUAAUUUCUUUAUCACAUAGUAGAAAUAAAACAAUAACAAAAAUAAUAAUUUAGGAAAAACAAUAACAAAAAUAAUAACUUAAGGAUUUAUAUUUGUGGAAGGAACAGAGAGAUAGGGUGGUGGCUGUGAAAAAUGCCAUUUGGCGUUGUAGAAGCAAAAAUAGCCUUAUGAUUAAGAGCCCUAGUGCCGGUUGCAUGGCCUUGGGCAAUGUACCUCUCCAUGCAGCAGCGUCCUCCUGUAUAAAGUGCAGAGAAUGAUCACACCCAUCUCAUAGAUUGUUGUGAGGAAUAAGGUGAAUAACAUAAGUCAUGCGCACUUAGUACAAUGCCCGGCACUUAGCAAGCACUUAGCAAUAUAUGUUACAUGAUACACAUUCUUGUCACAAUCCUCGCUACAUAUCUACACUUCUCUUUUGACAUUUCAUUCCCGUUAAAUUCUUAGUGUAAAGUCUUCUUUUCAUGCCUCUUAUUGUGUGCUCUUCUUUCUAAAAUAGAGUCUAGCCUUAUAAAAAAUAUAUAUGACAAGCCAACUGGAAGAAGGUCACAGUAAAUGAAAGCAGUGUAGCACAUUGCAAACCCAGACAGAAGCCUAGUUAAGACAAUUAUGCAAAGUUGGCUUACCUGUUUUUUCCCUUGGAGAAACAUCAGAAUCUUGACUCAUAAAAUCUGGUAUGACCCAUUUGUCUAAGUACCUACACAUGAGAAUACCCAGAUGUGUUCUUUAAUCACAAAACCAGAGAGGCUCACAGAACUAGAUAGAAUCCACAUUCUAUGAGGAAAGCCACAUUGUAUAAAACUGGUAAUAAAAGAGACUAGUCUCUAGCCACUCCUCACUGAGGAAUUGGUGAUGACUUCUAAACAAUGAAGUUGAAGAAACAGUUCUCAAACUUUGGUAACAGAGAAACUUUUUACUUUCUGUUUAGGUAUUGGCUAGAAGCACAGUCUCAUAGUUAGAAGGGUAGUCUUUGGCAUCACAAUACCUGGGGUUCUAAACCCAGCAUCAAUAUUUGCUAGAUGUGUGACUUCGGUGUCAUUAACAUCUCUGUGCCUCCAUUCUGUUAUCAGUACAUUGGAUUAAUAGUCGUACCUGUCCCAGAAGAUGAUUGUAAGUAUUAAACUUACUUACGAUAAGGUAAAGCACUUUGCACACAGCAGGUAAAUCUUUAGCUAUUUUUAUUAAUUAAUUCUUGAACAAUGGAUUUCCUUUAUUAAUUUUUUACUUAUAUUCACUUUAGAAAUUUCAGAAAAUCAAUUACAAGAGAGAAAGACAAAUUAAAAGAAAAACGAAAAAUCUUCUGUUAUCCAACCUCUCAGAGAUAACCACUGUUAAGGUUUUAGAAAUGUUUUCCUCCAGUAUUUUUUUAAUUUUUUAAUUUUUCCUUCUUCUCCCCAAAGCCCCCCAGUAUAUAGUUGUAUAUUCUAGUUGUAGGGCAUUCUAGUUGUGGCAUGUGGGAUGCCACCUCAGCGUGGCUUGAUGAGCAGUGCCAUGUCCACAUCCAGGAUCCAAACCUACAAAACCCUGGGCCACCAAAGCGGAGCACGUGAACUUAACAACUUGGCCACGGGGCUGGCCCCUCCAGUCUUCUUUUUAAAUAUACAAUUUCAGAACUAAGACCAAAGUGUACAUGGUAUUUUAUAACCUAAUUUGUUUCCCCCAACCACCAGUUAUUGAGGGAAAAUGUCAUAUUUUACAUUUAACCAUACAUAAUGAAAAAGUCCUUGUCAUUAAAUAUUCUUUUACAACAUUAUUAUGCCUAACACAGAAUAUUGCAUUGCCUCGAAGUAAUUAUUUAACCAUUCCCCUAUUACUGGAUAUUUUGAAGGUUUCCAAAUUUUCACUAAUUUUUUAAAGUGAUUGACCAUCCUUGGAGGUAAAUGUUCACCAGAUCUAUGAUCCUUUCCUUAAGAGACAUACCUGGGAGUGGAGUUUCCCAAUAUCAAAAAGAAUAAACAUUAUUAAAGCUUUUGGUGUAUUCAGUGGAUUUCUGUUGGAAUGCAUUAUUCCUUCCAAAAUGCUCUUUAUAAUUCUGGCUGGGAGUAUGUGAUGCUACAGUUGUUUGUCUCUAACCAACAGGAUCUUUUUUCAGUUCCAUUAUGAAACCCACAUUCUCUUCCGUGUGUCAAUAGGAAGGGCUUUUCAAACUCCUUCCGAGAGAAAAGAAUCCUUUCAUGUUGCCUUUAAGUGGAAUCGGAUUAUGGAAAAAUAUGAAACCCACAAUACUUAUUGUGCAACCUCUGGCAAUAGCAUCUCUAGAUGUUGUCUUUCUCACUUGAAACUCAGUAUUUUGUGUGUUUCACUGUUUACCAGUUUGGUGCUCAGCUGGAAUGAAGAGCUUCAAUUCCUCUUGACUAUCUCUCCACUUUUUCCUUUUCCACUUUCUGGACUGGCAUGUUAAUUUUUUAUAGGCCAAAAAAAUUAAAAACAUGAAAUUCCCAAAUGUCAACAAAUUUAUAAACUGGUUCACAAGUCAAAUUUCCUCUAGUGGCUUCUCUUUACAAUUAGAAUAAAUCUCGACCCUUUACACUGACAUGCAAAACCACAGAAGACCGAGCUCCUGGCCAGCUCUCCAGCUGCACCGUUGCCUCUCUCUCUUUGCCUACCAAAUUAGUCGCACUAAACAUUCCUCAGGUCGUUUAACACUCCAAGGACAUUCUGACACUAGAGUCCAUGCGUGAACUUUUCCUAGUGCCUGGAAGGCUUCUUUGCUCCUUCUUGUCAUUCAGAUCACAGCUCAAAUGACAUCUCCUCAUAGACCUUCCCUGGCCACUCAAUCUUAAGAUGGCUCUCAUUCACUCUUUCUCAUGUCACCCAAUUUAAUCUCUGCAACGCACUUGUCAUUUUUCUGAUCUAGAAUAAUAUCAAAAUCUUAAUUGGCUUGUAUCUCUUGGAAGUAGUGCCUGGCACAUAGUAGGGGCUCAAUAAAUGUUUACUAGAAAAUCUUGUUGAAUGGAUUAUGAAAAAAAAUUGCUUAUUAUAUCUUGCUUGAAACUUCCAGCAAAAGUUGAGUUCUGGAAGGAGGGAUGUUGUAACGACAAUAAGGUGAACCUCUGUGAGAGGAAAAUCUAUGGUACAACUAGCCUUAGAAAAGUAAUAAUAAGCAGAUCUACACAUAAUGGACAGGAGGAGAGAGGUUUAGGGACUUUGACAGAAAAACUUCCUUCUGAUCCUCAAAAAGGAAUGGAAGGAGAGACGGAACAGGAGCUAGUGCAGAAGAGAGGAAGGAAAGGAAGAAGGGGAGAAGGCAGGAAGGGCGAGAAGAAGGGAUGGAGAAAAAGAGUGAAUUCAAAGUAGUCCUUUGAAAUGCUCUGUGGUUGAGAUCUUACAGAGGCACAAGCCACAUUUAACAGACCCACAGAAAACAAGAAUGAUGCAUUAUAGGGCCAGGCAACCAAGGAGAGUUUCAAGGAGGAAUGUGAACUGAGCUUACAGAUUUAGUAAUGUUUUUUUACAAUAGAAAAAUAAGGAAAAGAGAAACAUAGCAGAGCCUAAGCAAAGGCAAGUAGAAAUAACAGUGCACAGCUGGUUCAGAGAAAUGGAAAUCAUUUUGAGGGGCUGGUGUAUGAGGUACAGAGGGCGAUGUGGAGGGAACCCUGACUGCUAGUACCUCCAGAGUGGACACAUGCAUGCCCCUGAGAGUGGUCUCAAGGCCUGGCCAGUUCUGACCUGCAGAAGAAGAGAGGCCUGCCAUGUGCUCCCUCUUCUUCCUGGUUCCCCCUCUGAUUUUUCUUUUUCUUGACAUCUUUAUUGAAAUAUAAUAUAUAAAACAUCCAAUUCAUCCAUUUAAAUCUACCCUUCAGUGGUUUUUAGCAUAUUCGCAGAGCGGUGCACCCAUCACCUCUAUCUAACUCCAGAACGUUUUUAACACUCCAAGGAAGAAACCCCACGCCCAUUAGCAGUCAGCCCUUAUCCCCACGCUCACCCCUGGGCAAACACGAAUCUAUGUUCUCUUUCUACAGAUUUGCCUAUUCUGGAUAUUUCAUAUAAAAGGAAUACAUGAUCUUUUCUGACUAGCCUCUUUUAUUUAGCAUAAUGUUUUCAACAUUCAUUCUUGUUGUAGUGUAUAUCAGUACUUCAUUCCUUUUCGUAGCUGAAUAAUAUUGCGUUGUAUGUUUAUACCACAUUUCAUAUAUCCAUCAUCAGUUGAUGGACGUUUGUAUUAUUUCCACUGUUUGGCUAUUAUGAAUAAUACUGCUAUAAACAUUCAUAUACAAGAAUUUCUGUGAGGGGCCAGCCCGGUGGCAUAGUGGUUAAGUUUGUGUGCUCCACUUCGGCAGCCUGGGGUUCACUGGUUCAGAUCCUGGGCACAGACCUACACACCACUCAUCAAGCCAUGCUGUGGCAGCAUCCCACAUAGAAGAACUAGAAGGACUUAAGGAAUUAUAACUAGGAUAUACAACUAUGUACCAGGGCUUUGGGGAGAAAAAAAAAGAGGAAGAUUGACAAUGGACGUUAGCUUAGGGCCAAUCUUCUUCACCAAAAGAAAAGAAAAGAAAAGAAAAAAGAAUUUCUGUGAGUGUGUAUUUUCAUUUGUCCUGGGUAUACACCCAGGAGUAGAAUUGUUGGGUCAUAUGGUUAACUUUAUCUUUAACCUUUUGAGGAAUUCCCUAUCUACUUUCCAAAGUGGCUGCACUACUUUACAUCCUCAUCAGCAAUAUAUGAGGCACCAGUUCUUCUACAUCCUUGUGAACACUUCCACAUCUGUCACUUUGAUUACAGUUUUCCUAGUCGAUGUGCAGUGCCAUCUCAUUGUGCUAUCGCAUUGCAGUUUUGACUUGCCCUUCCCUAAUGACUAAUGAAGUUGGGCAUCUUUCAUUAUGCUUAUUGGCUAUUCUGUUCUGCCCAGUCUAUUCUUCACGCGGUAGCAAAAUUAUAGCAUUUAACCCCCGGCAGGUCUCAAUACUCCCUUUCUUAAAACUUGUAAAGUUUCCUAAAACUUUACAAGACUGCCCCAUUACACUUCAACUAAAAUCUAAAUCCCUCCCACAAUAUAGCGCCUGCAUGAUGUUACAACUUGCAAUUAUUUUACUGAUUUGCAAUUAUUUUAUAAAUAAUUUUAAUUUACUAAAAUAAUUGAUAAUUAUUUUCCUAAUGUUUCUUUCUGGGGUAUAUGUCAAUCUUCCCUGUUCAGAAGGGCAGAAAUAAGGUCUGCCUGUCCUCCAUGAAUCCUCGUGUCAAGAACAAUGCCUAGCAUAUGGUAAAACGAAUGCUCACCAAAUGCAUGAAUAAUUAGGAAAUUACAAAAACAAAUCAUUCCCCCAAAAUAUAGCUAGAUAAUGCACAGUACUAUGUGAAUGAAAAGUGACAUAAGUGCGUGUCCUUCAUUUAUUUAGAUGAAAUAAUAAUGGUGUAUUUACUUCUCUCAUAAAAAAAUAUGCACUAGCUAUUCUAGAAGUCAAGAAUAUAAUGAAAGUAGACAUACUUUUUGCAGUUAAUUCACUUCAAUCACAGUCUCUAAAGACUGUUGUCUGCUGUUGUGAUAUUUUCAACCAGCAUAACUCGUAUCCACGUGCUGUUUGCCACUCAGCAAUGUAAAAAAAAAUAAUGAAUUAGUCAGACAACAGGCCUAUUACCAUUAUGCAGAUUUAUAACGCAGACUUUAUUGCAUAGAUUGGUAUUGAUGUGUUUAUUCUGGUUCUGUUAACAAUGAACGUGUAAGAGCCAAAUGAAAGUGUCAGCAGCUCCAGCGAGAGUCUGUGUCUUAACACGUUCCAUGGAUAUUGUGAUUCUCCCACAAGGCAGCCUUUGUUCAAUAAAACAUAAACGUCAUUUUGAACUAUGCUGCGAGGUUUAAGUUUCUUUGGGGUUUUGAGGUUGGUAUUGCCACACCCUAAGAAAUUCAUUUAAGGUAAUUGGAAGUUAAUAGAGAAAGAAAUUAUUCAUGCAAUAUGUUACUAAAAAUGAAAAACUAUCAGUUUGAUGGCUUGUGAUCUUUUACAUGGAAAGCAACUUCUUCCCUUUUCCUUUCUAAAUCUGUGACUUUGUGGAUUAAAAAGAAAACAUAACAGGAAGUAGUUCCCACAUAAGCCUCACUGACCUCUUCCUCCGUACUUUUCUGUAUAUUCGUCCCCAAGAACUCAUCUUGUUCUUCAGUUAUAUGAGCUUAUCUCCUCCAUCAACCCACUCUGUCUUAUCUUGAAGCAUCCACUUCUUUCCACCAUCUCAGUCAUCACCGGGUGUGGGACACUCAUGUUUCUCCUGAACAACAGCAGCCACCAUCUUACUGCUCCCCGCCUCCACUCGUGCCCCCCCGACCCCACCCUCCGCCCAGCAAGUCAGGUCAUGUCACUGUCCAUCAUUAUUGAAUGAAUGAAUGGUUAACCCACGGGGGGGACGCAGCAAUUCUAAUAAUCAUCUUCUCAUAUGUAUAAAGCAUCUGUUCAUAUCCUCAAACCACACUUUGAUGAGGGUGGGUGGGAUUAUUAUUAUUAACGUUGUUUCGAUUUCACAGAUGAAGAAACUAUGAUUAGGGCAGUGGGAUGAUGUGCUCAGGGUGACACAGUGAGUUUGGGCGCAGACGGAGCCGAGACUCUGACUUGGAGUUCCGAAUUCCCAGUCCUGUGUUCUUUCCACGGCUUUUUGUUUCCUCUGCCUUCCCCCACCCCAACUCACACACACAGACAUGCAGGCACACAUGCAUACACACACACACAACAAUUUAAGUGAAAUCUAGGGUGCCUAAUCUGGUUUGAAGCAAAUCUAAAAGCUAUUUGUUUUUCUGUCUUCAGACAGAGAGAAGCUAUUGCUUGCACAUCUGCGAUAGCAGAUGUGUGCAAGUGUGAGAUUAUUUAAUUUCCAAGAUAUAACCAAUCAUGCUGUCCCCAGAACCACCUGAGAAGAAAGUCCCAAUCUCAGAACAUGCACACAGCCCAAAUUAUCAAGACAGCCACUGAGAUAAGAAAGCCAUGAUCUCCUCUCUCAAGAGGGGCCUCAAAUUACUGUUCAGCUGAGUGUAUCUAGAAAAUGGGAAAGAUUAGAAUGCCCCUUGACACUUUUCUUCCUUUUGAGCAAGUUAUUAAAUGAGACAGAGCUCUUUGGGAGGCUUAUUUUUCUUGUAGCUCACAGAAGGAACUUACAGCAUGAUGAAAGGACACUCUGAUUAGGCAGGGCAAAGGAAACUAAAGCUGAGAGAGGAGACUGGAGAAAAUUUAAUAAAAAAUAAGAAGGAGAGAAUCAUACAAUAUCUUCAUACCAAAAUACACAUUUGAACAGGAGGCAGAGUAUGACAGUGCCACAAGACUACUUCAUUGUGCUACCUUAUCUCUUAUGAAGCAUCUUAAUCCCCUUUUUCAUCCAGGACAAGAAUGACACCCACAUCCUCUGGAGAAGAUGGUUAGGGAAAUCAGACUGGCUGAAGACUCUGGUGAGAGAUGCUGCGGUACCCACUGGGGGAAGCAGAUAUACAGUUUGGGAAGAUUGACCUCAUGCCCAAGACUACUCCAGGGUUGAUAGCCUUCUGGACCAGUGCAUGGCUUUACUGGAUUCUACAACAAUCUGUGGCAAAUUGUCUCCAAAGAUGGUCGAAAACUCACCUUAUAAGGAGUACUAAAGGAAGUUCACUAGGCUGAAAAAAAGGAUUCCCAGAAGAUAAUUUGAAUCCACACAAAAAACGAAGUACAC
RNAcentral lists this long non-coding RNA (7659 nucleotides) under Equus caballus (horse). Its description in RNAcentral is "lncRNA (ENSECAG00000047138.1)". The record is from RNAcentral. Lineage: Eukaryota; Metazoa; Chordata; Mammalia; Perissodactyla; Equidae.